GAAUUCGCCCUUAGAGUUUGAUCCUGGCUCAGGACGAACGCUGGCGGCGUGCCUAACACAUGCAAGUCGAGCGGAGAAGUGAGUAGCUUGCUACGAACUGUUUUAGCGGCGGACGGGUGAGUAACGCGUGAGCAACCUUUCCCAGACAGGGGAAUAACACACCGAAAGGUGUACUAAUACCGCAUAAGACCACGGAAUCACAUGGUUCUGGGGUAAAAGAUUUAUCGGUUUGGGGUGGGCUCGCGUCCGAUUAGGUAGUUGGUGAGGUAACGGCCCACCAAGCCGACGAUCGGUAGCCGACCUGAGAGGGUGAUCGGCCACAUUGGGACUGAGACACGGCCCAAACUCCUACGGGAGGCAGCAGUGGGGAAUAUUGGGCAAUGGAGGAAACUCUGACCCAGCAACGCCGCGUGGAGGAAGAAGGUUUUCGGAUCGUAAACUCCUGUCCUUGGAGACGAGUAGAAGACGGUAUCCAAGGAGGAAGCCCCGGCUAACUACGUGCCAGCAGCCGCGGUAAUACGUAGGGGGCAAGCGUUGUCCGGAAUAAUUGGGCGUAAAGGGCGCGUAGGCGGCUCGGUAAGUCUGGAGUGAAAGUCCUGCUUUUAAGGUGGGAAUUGCUUUGGAUACUGUCGGGCUUGAGUGCAGGAGAGGUUAGUGGAAUUCCCAGUGUAGCGGUGAAAUGCGUAGAGAUUGGGAGGAACACCAGUGGCGAAGGCGACUAACUGGACUGUAACUGACGCUGAGGCGCGAAAGUGUGGGGAGCAAACAGGAUUAGAUACCCUGGUAGUCCACACUGUAAACGAUGAAUGCUAGGUGUAGGGGGUAUCGACCCCUUCUGUGCCGCAGUCAACACAAUAAGCAUUCCGCCUGGGGAGUACGGCCGCAAGGUUGAAACUCAAAGGAAUUGACGGAAG
Molecule: ribosomal RNA, 914 nt
Filed under: uncultured bacterium
Lineage: Bacteria
Description: bacterial SSU rRNA
Rfam family: Bacterial small subunit ribosomal RNA
Source: RNAcentral